GGGCGCCGAUGGCGGGGGGCAGCCGCAGCGCGGGGGGCGCCGGGGCCGGCGGGCGGGCUGGUUCCCGGCUGGACGGGCUGUUCCUGCGGCGGUUCCUACGGCUCCUGGCCGUGCUCUUUCCUGGGUGGCCCUCCCCGAGCGCCCUCAUGUUCUUGACGCUGCUCGGUGUCGCCUUGCUGGAGCAGCUGGUUAUUUACCAGGUCGGCGUCAUCCCCAGCCAGUACUAUGAGGUGCUAGGGAACAAGGACUUCUCCGGAUUCAAAACAUUGACUGCCGUUGCUGUGACUCUGAUCAUUGUGAACUCCACGCUAAAAAGUUUCGACCAGUUUAUCUGCAACAUGAUGUAUGUGAACUGGAGGAAAUCCCUCACUGAAUACCUCCACCGCUGCUACUUCCAAGGCCAGGUCUACUACAACCUGCUCGUGCUGCGUGAGGACAUCGAUAACCCGGACCAGCGCAUCAGCCAGGACGUGGAGAGGUUCUGCAGGCAGCUCAGCUCCAUGGCCAGCAAGCUCGUCAUCUCACCCUUCACACUGGCCUACUACACAUACCAGUGCUUUCACAGCACAGGCUGGCUGGGCCCGGUGAGCAUCUUUGGGUAUUUCGUCAUUGGGACGAUGAUUAACAAAGUGUUGAUGAGCCCAAUUGUGUCUAAACUUGUGCAGCAGGAAAAACUGGAGGGAGAUUUCAGGUUCAAGCACAUGCAGAUUCGUGUCAAUGCAGAACCAGCUGCUUUCUACAGGGCUGGGCGAGUGGAGCACAUGCGCACAAACCGGAGGCUGCAGAGCCUGCUGAAGACCCAGAGAGAGCUGAUAGGCAAAGAGCUGUGGCUGUACAUUGGGAUCAACACCUUUGAUUAUCUGGGCAGCAUCCUGAGCUACGUGGUCAUUGCCAUUCCCAUCUUUUCUGGGGUCUACGGCGACCUGAGUCCAACAGAGCUCAGUGCCCUUGUCAGCAAGAAUGCCUUUGUUUCCAUCUACCUCAUUGGCUGCUUCAGCCAGCUCAUAGAUCUCUCCAGCACUGUGACUGAUGUAGCUGGCUACACACACAGGAUUGGUGAACUGCAGGAGACCUUGCUGAGCCUUGGCAACAAAAAAAAUGAUAACUACUCAGAAGCCAAAACCAGUUGGGAUUUGGACAGCAGCCAUUCUGGGGAGGACCCAGUGCCAAGGGACACAGCUUUCCUUCUGGAGCGAGUGACACUCUCAGUACCAUCCUCUGGCAAGCUGCUCAUCAAGGACUUGAGCCUCAACAUCUCACAAGGAAACAGUGUGAUGAUUGUGGGAAACACUGGUACAGGGAAGACAUCGCUCCUGAGGGUCCUCGGAGGACUCUGGGAGAGCACACGGGGGAGCAUCAGGAUGCUGACCUGCUUUGGCCCCCGAGGAGUGGUGUUCCUACCACAGAGGCCCUUCUUCACUGAUGGAAGCCUGCGUGAGCAGGUGAUCUAUCCCCUGAAGGAGAUCUAUCCACUUUCAGGGUCUGCAGAUGAUGAGAGGAUUGUGCGAUUCCUGGAGCUGGCUGGGCUGACUGAUUUGCUGGCAAGGGCUGGAGGACUGGAUGAACAGGUGGACUGGAACUGGUAUGACAUCCUGUCCCCAGGGGAGAUGCAGAGGCUCUCAUUUGCACGGCUCUUCUACCUCCAGCCAAAAUAUGCAGCAUAGCACACAGAGGAUCCAUUUGUGAAAUGUGAAAACGUUUCAUUAUUUGUGUGGACGGUGGUAAGUCAAGAGGCUGUACAUAAGACAUUUUCUUCUUGGGGAACUGGUGAUUCAUGUUCAUGGUCCAUGUCCAGUGGCACCAGAAGAACUUUGUCAGCCUGCUCACCAGUUGCUGUGCAAAGAAGUGCAUGUGUUGGGGAAUAUGGCAGCAGCUGUCAUAUCUGAAGCUCGCAAGCAUCUGUACAGUUGUGGGGCAGUAUGGAAGGUUUAGCCCUGAUGUGGCAAAAGAAGACAAGGAGCAGAAGGAGAAACAGUCCUGAGGGACCACAGAACAUCUGUGAUUAGCUAAUGGGGCCAAUUCCUUAGGCUCUGCUGGGGGCUUGAGCUGUUGGAGGACUUGCCAUGAGGGUCAGGUUGGAUGUGGGUGAGCAGAGCCAGUUUCAGUAGCAGGUAGCUACAUGUAAGUACCUCUCUUUCCCCUGAGGCCUGGGGCACAGCUAAGUGAUGUCUGGGCAGAAGGAACCUGUGGAUUGCAAACUAAAAGCUGUAGAGAUGAUUUGAAUUUAUUUGCUCCAGGUAUGUAGUAUUUACCCUUAAUAGUCAGGAAAGUGCCACAGGCCAUCCUACAUACUCCAUGUAGGGUCUGUGCUGGAUGAGUACACUGACUGCUGUUUGACCUGGCACUCUGGCACGUGGUCUGCCUGGAGAAGGUCAUGUCUUGGCUUUUGCUAUGAUGGGGAUGAGGCGCAGUGGUGGGUAGCUGUUGAGGGAGAGGAAUGAAGUGAACAGUGUGGUUUGGAUGGAUUCAAGUACUUGAAGGGAAAGACAGCUUUCCUAGUUGCCUGUCACCAGCUGUGGCAGAAGAAUACCAGAGUUCUUGGGUUUUUCCUCCCUUGCUUUUUGCAGAUGGUCUUAGUGAGCUCCAGUUAAUAUGUGAAAUGUUCUUGUGAGUUGCUCUCCUUGCCUACAGGAGAUAUCUGGUUGGGAGAGGAUUUGUGGGGCUUAUGGCUUUUUUUUCAGUGUUAGAUGAAGCUACCAGCGCCUUGACAGAAGAGGUGGAGCAUGAACUGUACCGUAUGUGCCUUCAGCUGGGCAUGACACUGAUCAGUGUGGGACACAGAUCCAGCCUGGAAAAGUUCCACAGCUGGAUUUUGAAACUUCAUGG
This is an RNA transcript of Onychostruthus taczanowskii (white-rumped snowfinch), 2826 nucleotides long. It is a transcript of the gene named ATP binding cassette subfamily D member 4, with no coding region annotated. The transcript is spliced from 19 exons. The record is from RefSeq and is a predicted model, not a curated record. Lineage: Eukaryota; Metazoa; Chordata; Aves; Passeriformes; Passeridae.